UAUACGGCUGUGAAGAGAAGAGUAAUUAAGAUUCAUUAUUUCCAGAGAGCUUCGGUAGGUGUGAAGAAGCAAUAAUGAUCUUAAUGAAAAAAGCCUCGGAGCCUUUGCACGGAUCUAAGAUUUCUUAGUGAUACUGCCACGGGAUCUCCCGUUAUAGAGAUAGGGUAUAAUUCUUUUUUACAACGAAAGUACCCGAAGAGGUUGAUAUGGUAACAUGUCAACAAACUGGGGUGGUACCACGAAGUUAACAACUCUCGUCCUCAAG
This 265-nucleotide non-coding RNA is filed under the name Bacillus sp. (in: firmicutes). Its description in RNAcentral is "Bacillus sp. T-box sequence". It matches the Rfam family "T-box leader". Rfam says of the family: Uncharged tRNA acts as the effector for transcription antitermination of genes in the T-box leader family. The record is from RNAcentral. Lineage: Bacteria; Bacillati; Bacillota; Bacilli; Caryophanales; Bacillaceae.